Molecule: ribosomal RNA, 468 nt
Filed under: uncultured bacterium
Lineage: Bacteria
Description: partial 16S ribosomal RNA
Rfam family: Bacterial small subunit ribosomal RNA
Source: RNAcentral
GACGAACGCUGGCGGCGUGCUUAACACAUGCAAGUCGAACGGAAAGGCCCUGCUUUUGUGGGGUGCUCGAGUGGCGAACGGGUGAGUAACACGUGAGUAACCUGCCCUUGACUUUGGGAUAACUUCAAGAAACUGGGGCUAAUACCGGAUAGGAGCUCCUGCUGCAUGGUGGGGGUUGGAAAGUUUCGGCGGUUGGGGAUGGGCUCGCGGCUUAUCAGCUUGUUGGUGGGGUAGUGGCUUACCAAGGCUUUGACGGGUAGCCGGCCUGAGAGGGUGACCGGCCACAUUGGGACUGAGAUACGGCCCAGACUCCUACGGGAGGCAGCAGUGGGGAAUAUUGCACAAUGGGCGGAAGCCUGAUGCAGCAACGCCGCGUGCGGGAUGACGGCCUUCGGGUUGUAAACCGCUUUCGCCUGUGACGAAGCGUGAGUGACGGUAAUGGGUAAAGAAGCACCGGCUAACUACGUG